UGCAAGUCGAACGCAGUAGCAAUACUGAGUGGCAGACGGGUGAGUAACAUGUGGGAAUCUGCCUUGUGGUUCAGGACAACAUUGGGAAACUGAUGCUAAUACUGGAUAAGCCCUUACGGGGAAAGUUUUAAUGCCAUAAGAUGAGCCCGCAUUUGAUUAGUUAGUUGGUGAGGUAAUGGCUCACCAAGACAAUGAUCAAUAGCUGAUCUGAGAGGAUGAUCAGCCACACUGGGACUGAGACACGGCCCAGACUCCUACGGGAGGCAGCAGUGGGGAAUCUUGCACAAUGGAGGAAACUCUGAUGCAGCGAUGCCGCGUGAGUGAAGAAGGCCUUUGGGUUGUAAAGCUCUUUUGUAGGGGAAGAUAAUGACUGUACCCUAAGAAUAAGGUCCGGCUAACUUCGUGCCAGCAGCGGGGGUAAUACGAAGGGACCUAGCGUAGUUCGGAAUUACUGGGCGUAAAGCGCGCGUAGGCCGUUGAGUUAGUUAAUUGUGAAAUCCCAAAGCUUAACUUUGGAACUGCAAUUAAAACUGCUCGACUAGAGUUUGAUAGAGGAAAGCGGAAUACAUAGUGUAGAGGUGAAAUUCGUAGAUAUUAUGUAGAACACCAGUUGCGAAGGCGGCUUUCUGGAUCAACACUGACGCUGAGGCGCGAAAGUAUGGGUAGCAAAGAGGAUUAGAUACCCUCGUAGUCCAUACCA
This 700-nucleotide ribosomal RNA is filed under the name uncultured Alphaproteobacteria bacterium. RNAcentral describes it as "bacterial SSU rRNA". It matches the Rfam family "Bacterial small subunit ribosomal RNA", at positions 56 to 802 of the family's 1533-position model. Lineage: Bacteria; Pseudomonadati; Pseudomonadota; Alphaproteobacteria. The record is from RNAcentral.